Molecule: long non-coding RNA, 461 nt
Organism: Carassius auratus (goldfish)
Lineage: Eukaryota; Metazoa; Chordata; Actinopteri; Cypriniformes; Cyprinidae
Exons: 2
Source: RefSeq, a predicted model, not a curated record
AUCCAUGAUUUAUCUUUCCGUCUGAUUGAUGGCCGUCAGCGGUUGGGUAGAAGACAACAAAUCAUUCCACGCUUCCUCUUAGAGUCAUCAAAACACGCGAUUGUUAUUGUUUUGGUAAUGCGCCCUCUCGUGGCAGGUCCUACAACCUGUACCUUUAAGUUUUAUUGAAAUGUCUGAAAUAUCUGGGGAAGAAAUGAGUAUUGAUGACAAAGAGACCCAUUCUUGUGUGUGUUUAGAAUAAUUUCCCAGCUAGCAGUCCAGAGAGACUGCAGGACCUCAAAUCUACUGUGGACCUACUAACCAGUAUCACAUUCUUCAGGAUGAAGGUCCAAGAGCUCCAGAGUCCUCCUCGUGCCAGCCAGGUAGUGAAGGACUGUGUGAAGGCUUGCCUCAACUCUACCUACGAAUACAUUUUCAACAACUGCCACGAGCUGUAUAGUCGAGAAUACCAAACAGACCCG